RNAcentral lists this ribosomal RNA (601 nucleotides) under Campanulotes compar (small pigeon louse). Its description in RNAcentral is "bacterial SSU rRNA". It matches the Rfam family "Eukaryotic small subunit ribosomal RNA", at positions 32 to 594 of the family's 1831-position model. Lineage: Eukaryota; Metazoa; Arthropoda; Insecta; Psocodea; Philopteridae. The record is from RNAcentral.
UUGUCUCAAAGAUUAAGCCAUGCAUGUCUCAGUGCAAGCCGAAUUAAGGUGAAACCGCGAAAGGCUCAUUAAAUCAGCUAUGGUUCCUUAGAUGGUACGUACAGUUACUUGGAUAACUGUGGCAAUUCUAGAGCUAAUACAUGCAAAUUGAGUUCCGACGGCCGUCGCAGGCGGAAGGAACGCUUUUAUUAGAUCAAAACCAAUCGGGCUUUCCCGCAGCCACGCGCGAGGGAUCGCCCGUCACGUCCUGGCGACACUGAAUAACUUUGAGCUGAUCGCACGGUCCCGCACCGGCGACGCAUCUUUCAAAUGUCUGACUUAUCAACUUUCGAUGGUAGGCUCUGCGCCUACCAUGGUCGUAACGGGUAACGGGGAAUCAGGGUUCGAUUCCGGAGAGGGAGCCUGAGAAACGGCUACCACAUCCAAGGAAGGCAGCAGGCGCGCAAAUUACCCACUCCCGGAACGGGGAGGUAGUGACGAAAAAUAACGAUGCAGAACUCUUUCCGAGGCUCUGCAAUCGGAAUGAGCACACUCUAAAUCAUUUAACGAGUAUCCAUUGGAGGGCAAGUCUGGUGCCAGCAGCCGCGGUAUUCCACUCCAU